This 429-nucleotide ribosomal RNA is filed under the name Actinomycetes bacterium. Its description in RNAcentral is "Actinobacteria bacterium partial 16S ribosomal RNA". It matches the Rfam family "Bacterial small subunit ribosomal RNA", at positions 355 to 776 of the family's 1533-position model. Lineage: Bacteria; Bacillati; Actinomycetota; Actinomycetes. The record is from RNAcentral.
UAGGGAAUCUUCCGCAAUGGGCGAAAGCCUGACGGAGCAACGCCGCGUGAGUGAUGAAGGUCUUCGGAUCGUAAAACUCUGUUAUUAGGGAAGAAAAAAUGUGUAAGUAACUAUGCACGUCUUGACGGUACCUAAUCAGAAAGCCACGGCUAACUACGUGCCAGCAGCCGCGGUAAUACGUAGGUGGCAAGCGUUAUCCGGAAUUAUUGGUCGUAAAGCGCGCGUAGGCGGUUUUUUAAGUCUGAUGUGAAAGCCCACGGCUCAACCGUGGGGGGUCAUUGGAAACUGGAAAACUUGAGUGCAGAAGAGGAAAGUGGAAUUCCAUGUGUAGCAGUGAAAUGCGCAGAGAUAUGGAGGAACACCAGUGGCGAAGGCGACUUUCUGGUCUGUAACUGACGCUGAUGUGCGAAAGCGUGGGGAUCAAACAGG